GUCUUUUUGUUUUAAAUAUAAAGUAUAACCUGCCCAUUGAAAAUUUUAAAAGGCUGCGGUAUAUUGACCGUACAAAGGUAGCAUAAUCAUUAGUUUUUUAAUUGAGAACUUGUAUGAAUGGUUGAAUGAGAAAUAAACUUUUUUAAUAAAAAUAUUGAAUUUUACAUUUUAAUUAAAAGGUUAAAAUGAUUUUAAAAGACGAGAAGACCCUAUAGAGUUUUAUAAUUUAUGUUUAAAUUUUUAAAAAAAUUAAUUGGUAUUUUUAUUUAAAUAAAUUAUUUUAUUGGGGUGAUAAUAAAAUUUAAUUAACUUUUAUUUUUUUUUACAUUAAUAUAUGGAAAAUUGAUCCAUUACUAAUGAUCAAAAAAUUAAAUUACCUUAGGGAUAACAGCGUAAUUUUUUUUUUAAGUUCAUAUUAAUAAAAAAUUUUGCGACCUCGAUGUUGGAUUAAGAUUUAAUUUUAGGUGCAGAAGUUUAAAGUUUAAGUCUGUUCGACUUUUAAAUUCUU
Molecule: ribosomal RNA, 508 nt
Filed under: Pseudolycoriella bispina
Lineage: Eukaryota; Metazoa; Arthropoda; Insecta; Diptera; Sciaridae
Description: partial 16S ribosomal RNA
Source: RNAcentral